GUAGCUGAACAUCUUACGGAUGGCCCAGGGCUCCAAAGGCUCGUUUCCUAAGUGAGAGAGAGCCUGGCUGAAGCUGUAUUACCAUUCAUUCUCCAGCCUCCGAAGUCUCAAAGCAUCACUUCCACCAUACUCUAACUGUCAAGACAAACACAAAGGCCCAGAAACUGCCAGACUGUCUUCUGAAGUGGCUAUAAUAUUUACACUCCCAUCAGCAGUGUAGAAGGGGUCUCACUAUGUUGUCUGGAGUGCUGUGGUGGAGUGGAGUGGCUAUUCACAGAGCCUGUUCUGCUGGGACACAGAAUCACUUGCUCCAUCUCAUACAUUGAUGAUGAUUAAUUUGUAUGUGUACCUUCCAAAAAAGAUGGUUGUGUUUGAAUGGAGGCCUUCUGGACAGGAAAAUAUGGAGAGUGCGUGCUUUGGAUUCAAGACUGGGAAUGAGGGGACCAGAAACCUAUUCUGUGGCUGUUUCUUGUUAGGACUUUCCUAAGCCUCUGGAAAAGUGCAAAGUACAAUUAACAUUUGAGUCUGUCUGAGUCAUGAAGAAAUGGAGAUUACUGAAAAUAAUUCAUUUUGGUAUCUUCUUACAUCCUGAGAGACUAAUCUUUCCAAGUUCAUCUGAGGCUCCUCUUCUCCAUGACAACCUCAUCCAGGGAUUUCUUCCUGUCCUGGUGUUUUAUGACAUGUGGAAGGGGACUGUAGCAGGUGAUCUCCAAAGUCUCUGGAGACUUACUAAUGUGCAUCCUCAUCUCGCUUGUAAGGAUAAUAGCCUUCCUCCAAACCUCACACACUUUUGGAGGAGAUCACUUUUUUUAAAGUGCAUGGAAAUGUUUUGAAACAGUGAAAUCUAUAAUGAUAGGUUUCAUAAUUCUAACAUCCACACCAUAUGAAUCACAUCCUUCCUGAGAUAAUGAGCACACAAUUGCCUGGAUACCUGAAGGAAUGGAGACAGCGGCAGAAAACACUGCAGAGAGGUGGAAACAUCCGUUAAUAUUUUAAAAUCCCAUUACUGCUACCAACAAUAAUAAUGGAUGCAUAGAAAUAGAUCUGGAUUAGCUGAGCUUGAAACAGUCCAUCUCACACACACACAAAAGAAUUUCAGAUACAGUGAACCCACAUGUUGAAGCUUUCUAGUAUAAUAAAAAUUUCAACUGUUCUGUUGAAUCAUCUGCCUGAUUGGAGGCUACAGAAAAGAUGUCAUCUUAGGAGUGCUUGCUCUGAGUGAGGCUCAUCUUCAAAUCUGAAUGACCACAAGGAGAUUUGAUUAUACAUGUGAACACCUCAGAAGGCACAGCCCACCCAGAAGGCAGACAGGAGGAGACAGACACUAGAGCUCACCGGCUCGCCCUCUCACUCCUACUCAUCUGAGAAGGCAGCCAGCUAACCCUUCAGCCAGGAAGAGGGUCCUCAUCAGAACCUGGCCGUGGUGGCAUCCAGAUCUUGAACCUCCGGACUCCAGACUGUGAGAAAAUAAGUGUGUUGUUUAAACUA
This 1488-nucleotide long non-coding RNA is filed under the name Homo sapiens (human). RNAcentral describes it as "long intergenic non-protein coding RNA 635". Lineage: Eukaryota; Metazoa; Chordata; Mammalia; Primates; Hominidae. The record is from RNAcentral.